RNAcentral lists this ribosomal RNA (598 nucleotides) under uncultured archaeon. RNAcentral describes it as "bacterial SSU rRNA". It matches the Rfam family "Archaeal small subunit ribosomal RNA", at positions 261 to 859 of the family's 1478-position model. The record is from RNAcentral.
UGAUCGGUACGGGUUGUGAGAGCAAGAGCCCGGAGAUGGAACCUGAGACAAGGUUCCAGGCCCUACGGGGUGCAGCAGGCGCGAAACCUCCGCAAUGUGAGAAAUCGCGACGGGGGGAUCCCAAGUGCCAUUCUUAACGGGAUGGCUUCUCAUUAGUGUAAAGAGCUUUUGGAAUAAGAGCUGGGCAAGACCGGUGCCAGCCGCCGCGGUAACACCGGCAGCUCUAGUGGUAACAAUUUUUAUUGGGCCUAAAGCGUCCGUAGCCGGUUUAAUAAGUCUCUGGUGAAAUCCUGUAGCUUAACUGUGGGAAUUGCUGGAGAUACUAUUAGACUUGAGACCGGGAGAGGUUAGAGGUACUCCCAGGGUAGAGGUGAAAUUCUGUAAUCCUGGGAGGACCGCCUGUUGCGAAGGCGUCUAACUGGAACGGUUCUGACGGUGAGGGACGAAAGUUAGGGGCGCGAACCGGAUUAGAUACCCGGGUAGUCCUAACUGUAAACGAUGCGGACUUGGUGUUGGGGUGGCUUUGAGCUGCUCCAGUGCCGAAGGGAAGCUGUUAAGUCCGCCGCCUGGGAAGUACGGUCGCAAGACUGAAACUUAA